GACGAACGAGGGAGGAGGGAGGAAUACAUGCAAGUUGAGCGCUGAAGGUUGGUACUUGUACCAACUGGAUGAGCAGCGAACGGGUGAGUAACGCGUGGGGAAUCUGCCUUUGAGCGGGGGACAACAUUUGGAAACGAAUGCUAAUACCGCAUAAAAACUUUAAACACAAGUUUUAAGUUUGAAAGAUGCAAUUGCAUCACUCAAAGAUGAUCCCGCGUUGUAUUAGCUAGUUGGUGAGGUAAAGGCUCACCAAGGCGAUGAUACAUAGCCGACCUGAGAGGGUGAACAGCCACAUUGGGACUGAGACACGGCCCAAACUCCUACGGGAGGCAGCAGUAGGGAAUCUUCGGCAAUGGACGAAAGUCUGACCGAGCAACGCCGCGUGAGUGAAGAAGGUUUUCGGAUCGUAAAACUCUGUUGGUAGAGAAGAACGUUGGUGAGAGUGGAAAGCUCAUCAAGUGACGGUAACUACCCAGAAAGGGACGGCUAACUACGUG
Molecule: ribosomal RNA, 497 nt
Filed under: uncultured bacterium
Lineage: Bacteria
Description: partial 16S ribosomal RNA
Rfam family: Bacterial small subunit ribosomal RNA
Source: RNAcentral